GUGCUUGCUUUGGCAGCACGGGUACUAAAGUUGGAAUGAUGCACAGAUUAGCCUGGCCCCCGUGCAAGGGUGACACACAAAUUCGUGCAAUGUUCCAUCUUUUU
Molecule: small nuclear RNA, 104 nt
Organism: Choloepus didactylus (southern two-toed sloth)
Lineage: Eukaryota; Metazoa; Chordata; Mammalia; Pilosa; Megalonychidae
Source: RefSeq, a predicted model, not a curated record